GACGGGACCCGCACAAGCAGCGGAGCGUGUGGUUUAAUUCGAUGCUACACGAAGAACCUUACCAGGGUUUGACAUGCAAGUGGUAGGAAACUGAAAGGACGACCUUCGGGAGCUUGCACAGGUGCUGCAUGGCUGUCGUCAGCUCGUGUCGUGAGAUGUUCGGUUAAGUCCGCUAACGAGCGCAACCCUCACUGUGUGUUAUAUGUGUCACACGGGACUGCCGGUUUUAAGCCGGAGGAAGGUGGGGAUGACGUCAAGUCAGCAUGGCCUUUAUAUCCUGGGCUACACACACGCUACAAUGGUCGGUACAAUAGGUUGCCAAGCCGCGAGGCGGAGCCAAUCCAAAAAAGCCGGCCUCAGUUCAGAUUGUAGGCUGCAACUCGCCUGCAUGAAGAUGGAGUUGCUAGUAACCGCAGGUCAGCAAUACUGCGGUGAAUACGUUCCCGGGUCUU
RNAcentral lists this ribosomal RNA (452 nucleotides) under uncultured Anaerolineaceae bacterium. RNAcentral's name for it is "bacterial SSU rRNA". It matches the Rfam family "Bacterial small subunit ribosomal RNA", at positions 916 to 1381 of the family's 1533-position model. Lineage: Bacteria; Bacillati; Chloroflexota; Anaerolineae; Anaerolineales; Anaerolineaceae. The record is from RNAcentral.